UAACACGUAAACAACCUGCCUUCAGGAUGGGGACAACAGACGGAAACGACUGCUAAUACCGAAUAAGUUCCAAGAGCCGCAUGGCCCAUGGAAGAAAAGGUGGCCUCUACCUGUAAGCUAUCGCCUGAAGAGGGGUUUGCGUCUGAUUAGCUGGUUGGAGGGGUAACGGCCCACCAAGGCGACGAUCAGUAGCCGGUCUGAGAGGAUGAACGGCCACACUGGAACUGAGACACGGUCCAGACUCCUACGGGAGGCAGCAGUGGGGAAUCUUCCGCAAUGGGCGAAAGCCUGACGGAGCAACGCCGCGUGAGUGAUGACGGCCUUCGGGUUGUAAAACUCUGUGAUCCGGGACGAAAAGGCAGAGUGCGAAGAACAAACUGCAUUGACGGUACCGGAAAAGCAAGCCACGGCUAACUACGUGCCAGCAGCCGCGGUAAUACGUAGGUGGCAAGCGUUGUCCGGAAUUAUUGGGCGUAAAGCGCGCGCAGGCGGCUUCCCAAGUCCCUCUUAAAAGUGCGGGGCUUAACCCCGUGAUGGGAAGGAAACUGGGAAGCUGGAGUAUCGGAGAGGAAAGUGGAAUUCCUAGUGUAGCGGUGAAAUGCGUAGAGAUUAGGAAGAACACCGGUGGCGAAGGCGACUUUCUGGACGAAAACUGACGCUGAGGCGCGAAAGCGUGGGGAGCAAACAGGAUUAGAUACCCUGGUAGUCCACGCCGUAAACGAUGGA
This 726-nucleotide ribosomal RNA is filed under the name uncultured bacterium. RNAcentral's name for it is "bacterial SSU rRNA". It matches the Rfam family "Bacterial small subunit ribosomal RNA", at positions 111 to 813 of the family's 1533-position model. The record is from RNAcentral.